RNAcentral lists this transfer RNA (73 nucleotides) under Salmonella enterica subsp. enterica serovar Mbandaka. RNAcentral's name for it is "tRNA-Gly". It matches the Rfam family "tRNA". Rfam says of the family: Transfer RNA (tRNA) molecules are approximately 80 nucleotides in length. Their secondary structure includes four short double-helical elements and three loops (D, anti-codon, and T loops). Lineage: Bacteria; Pseudomonadati; Pseudomonadota; Gammaproteobacteria; Enterobacterales; Enterobacteriaceae. The record is from RNAcentral.
GCGGGCGUAGUUCAAUGGUAGAACGAGAGCUUCCCAAGCUCUAUACGAGGUUCGAUUUUCGCUUCCGCUUACU